GCAAAACGCGAAGAACCUUACCUAGACUUGACAUCCCCUGAAUUACUCGUAACGGAGGAAGCCCUUCGGGGCAGGGAGACAGGUGGUGCAUGGUUGUCGUCAGCUCGUGUCGUGAGAUGUUGGGUUAAGUCCCGCAACGAGCGCAGCCCUUAUCAUUAGUUGCUACCAUUAAGUUGAGCACUCUAAUGAGACUGCCCGGGUUAACCGGGAGGAAGGUGGGGAUGACGUCAAAUCAUCAUGCCCCUUAUGUCUAGGGCUACACACGUGCUACAAUGGUUGGUACAAAGAGACGCAAGACCGUGAGGUGGAGCAAAACUCAAAAACCAAUCCCAGUUCGGAUUGUAGGCUGAAACUCGCCUACAUGAAGCCGGAGUUGCUAGUAAUCGCGAAUCAGCAUGUCGCGGUGAAUACGUUCCCGGGUCUUGUACACACCG
RNAcentral lists this ribosomal RNA (434 nucleotides) under uncultured bacterium. Its description in RNAcentral is "bacterial SSU rRNA". It matches the Rfam family "Bacterial small subunit ribosomal RNA", at positions 954 to 1392 of the family's 1533-position model. The record is from RNAcentral.